RNAcentral lists this long non-coding RNA (1425 nucleotides) under Mytilus galloprovincialis (Mediterranean mussel). Lineage: Eukaryota; Metazoa; Mollusca; Bivalvia; Mytilida; Mytilidae. The record is from RNAcentral.
GGUUUUAAUAGCUUUAAUGUUGAAUUAUAGUACGCUGUUCUGAUUCUGAGGUUGCCUGAAAUUUGUUGUUUUGGUUUUAAAAAAAAAAAAUGUAUAGUAAAUUGAAAUAACUCUCACCAUGUCUGUUUUAUUCCGCUUGAAUUAUUAUAAUUGAUUUUGUCUAAAGAUUGGCAAAUUAUGUCCUCCCAUAUAAUUUUUCCAAAGAAAAAAAUACUGGAUUAUGGUAGGCAAAUAAAAGCCAACAACUGAUAUUGGACUUUAUCUUACCUCCUAUACAUUUCUAGGAAUAUGAUUGGUUAAAAGCGUCCUCGUGGAAACCAUGUAUAUUUAAUAUUAGGUUAGUUGGGAGGCGGAGCUUAUUUCAUACACUGCUAGUAGUGGAGUUACGUCCCUUUAUAUUCCAUAUAAGGUAAAAAGGAGACGGGGCUUAUUUCAUACACGGUUAGUAGUGGUGUUACGUCCCUUUAGAAAAACAAAACAGGACUGAGAAAAAAUCUUAAAGGUUUCGACAGACGAAGAAAGUGAAAUAAAUUCAUAAAACACAUUUAAAUAUCUAACAAGUUGUCAUUGUUGGCAUCUGUGUUUGUAGGAUCAAAGGAAGAAGUUUUUUAAUCAUGUUAAUGCUAACUGCAUUGAAGACUUGCUCAUUUUGAUAGGUCACUAGUCUAAAUUUUACACGUUAAGAUAGUCGGUAAGAUAAAUUCGUUACAUAGUGUGCUAGUGACGUAAAUACGGUAUAUAUGAGGUCAGUAAAUUCCAAAUGGGGAUUCGAGCUUUGCUCUCACCCCAUAUGGAAUUUACUGACCCCAUAUAUACCGUAUUAGGUCACUAGCACACUAUGUAACUCAUAAUAUGAUGAUCCUUGAGAACAUGCAAAUCUUCCUCUGAAGUGAAUUGUAUACUUCCUCAGGUUAUUAUUUUUUAUGCAUACGGGCCCUGUAUUCAAUAAAAGUAUUAUUCAUUUCAAAAUCUUUAUCAAAUUUUAUAUCAUGAAUCCCUUUCAAUAGUAAGUUUUUAAAAACUGUUGUCAAUGAUCAAAGUCAACUGUAUAUGUAAGAAUUGUAACCAAGAACAACAUUUUAACCAUAAGUCUUUUAUCUGAUUAUAGGUGCUAAUAGUGUAUUUGUUAUCUUAUGCAAUAUAGCUAAGAUCAUAAAAUACUCAAUCCACAAAAAAAAACAAAACAAACCCAACACACACAAAGACUGGUUAGAUUUGUCAGUUGUUUGCUGUUGUGACAAUAUCCUAUCUUGAACAUUUAAUCAUAGAUAAAUUAUCUUUUUUUUCAAAGUUUAACUUUUAUUUGGAGUCCUUGUAGAUGUCAUUAACAAACCAAGCUUAAACUUUUGAUCAUAAAGGGUAAUAAAUAUGAAGUUAUGCACCUUAUUUAAAAAACAAGUUGGAUGAUAUUGAUACUUAUAUAUA